UACGGAGGGUGCAAGCAUUAAUCGGAUUUAUUGGGCGUAAAGGGCGCGUAGGCGGGUUUGUAAGUCAGAUGUGAAAUUCCGAAGCUUAACUUCGGAGCUGCAUUUGAAACUGCGAAUCUAGAGGGUAGGCGGAGAAAAUGGAAUUCCACGUGUAGCGGUGAAAUGCGUAGAUAUGUGGAAGAACACCGGUGGCGAAAGCGGUUUUCUAGCUUAUACCUGACGCUGAGGCGCGAAAGUAAGGGGAGCAAACAGG
RNAcentral lists this ribosomal RNA (253 nucleotides) under uncultured bacterium. RNAcentral's name for it is "partial 16S ribosomal RNA". It matches the Rfam family "Bacterial small subunit ribosomal RNA", at positions 524 to 776 of the family's 1533-position model. The record is from RNAcentral.